UUGAACGCUGGCGGCAUGCCUUACACAUGCAAGUCGAACGGUAACAGGUCUUCGGAUGCUGACGAGUGGCGAACGGGUGAGUAAUAUAUCGGAACGUACCCAGUUGUGGGGGAUAGCCCGGCGAAAGCCGGAUUAAUACCGCAUAAGUCCUGAGGGAGAAAGCGGGGGACCUUCGGGCCUCGCGCGAUUGGAGCGGCUGAUGUCGGAUUAGCUAGUUGGUGGGGUAAAGGCCUACCAAGGCGACGAUCCGUAGCUGGUCUGAGAGGAUGAUCAGCCACACUGGGACUGAGACACGGCCCAGACUCCUACGGGAGGCAGCAGUGGGGAAUUUUGGACAAUGGGCGCAAGCCUGAUCCAGCCAUGCCGCGUGAGUGAAGAAGGCCUUCGGGUUGUAAAGCUCUUUCAGACGGAAAGAAAUCGGGCGCGUGAAUAGCGUGCCUGGAUGACGGUACUGUCAGAAGAAGCACCGGCUAACUACGU
Molecule: ribosomal RNA, 480 nt
Filed under: uncultured bacterium
Lineage: Bacteria
Description: bacterial SSU rRNA
Rfam family: Bacterial small subunit ribosomal RNA
Source: RNAcentral